This 110-nucleotide ribosomal RNA is filed under the name Acanthosepion pharaonis. The record is from RNAcentral. Lineage: Eukaryota; Metazoa; Mollusca; Cephalopoda; Sepiida; Sepiidae.
CGACCAUAUGUGUUGAAACAUCGGUUCUCGUACGAUCACCGAAGUUAAGCAACGUCGAGCCUGGUCAGUACCUAGAUGGGUGACCGCUUGGGAAUACCAGAUGCUGUAAG